GAUAUACUCCCUCCGUCCGAAAAUACUUGUCAUCAAAAUGGAUAAAAAGAGAUGUAUCUAAAACUAAAAUACAUCUAGAUACAUCCCCUUUUAUCCAUUUUAAUGACAUGUAUUUCGGGACGGAGGGAGUAUGAU
Non-coding RNA from Triticum aestivum (bread wheat), 135 nucleotides. The record is from Rfam. NCBI's taxonomy places the organism in Eukaryota, Viridiplantae, Streptophyta, Magnoliopsida, Poales, Poaceae.